Molecule: long non-coding RNA, 1208 nt
Organism: Paramormyrops kingsleyae
Lineage: Eukaryota; Metazoa; Chordata; Actinopteri; Osteoglossiformes; Mormyridae
Source: RefSeq, a predicted model, not a curated record
GAUGAGCUGAGAGAAAUGAGCCUCCAUUUUUGCAGAACUCCUCUUAUUCUUCCUAUUUCGCCGGCGGCUUAUGAUGUUGCCUUUUGUUGUUUCCGAAUAAACAGCAGCAGUUUGCCAAGUUCUCACAGAGAAUCCUGUUUCCUAGCAACCAGCAGUGUGGAUGAGUGGACGUCAUCAUGUGAGAGUCUAGUGGGUAAACAGCUGAGAAAAAAGCACCUACCAAGGAUCAAGCUUGUUUCCAUUGUGAUUACGCUUGUGAUUAUUUCUCAGUCCGUUGCUUCUUGGUAACUAUUAAUCUAUAAAUCAAUAUUUUAAAUAUUUGUAAUCUAACAGCAUGACAGCUUGUACCACCACACUGGCACAGUUAAAAUGUUAUUGCAUGACUGAUAGAUCAUGAAUAGUAGUCAAUAUCCAAGUGCUCAUCCAUUUCAUUUACUUAUAAUUCAGGCAUUUUGUAAGGUCUUUGUCAUAGAAUCACACACAUUUUAAUCAUAUUGUAAGAAGUACCUUUGUGUAAGUAGCUGAAAUGUCUCCCUUCCAGCCAUUAACAAUAUACAAGAUGAGAGAAAUGCAAAUUAUGAAGCAAUUUGUUUUUAUAAUGUGAUUUUUAUAUGAAAUACUUAUAAAUAUAAAUAACUGUAGUGUGAGGUUUUUACAAGAAUAGGUACAGACCAAGGUCAGGCUGGGGAGCAUGCACGGGUACCGCGCAUCACCGCACCCACCACACGAUGAAACUGGGGAUCCCAGCUGGCGACCACCCUCCGGAAAUGGAUGUAUCUGCCACAGCCAGGUGUUACAUGGGCGUCCCCUUGGCCUGGUCCAGCCACUCAGCAGUGAAGAUCUUGCAAGCCGGAUCCCCCUCAGGGAAUCACGCGAAGUGGUUCCUGUACAGGCCGGCCAUGAUGUCCAGUAACUUCGGGGGAUCCUGUGAAGACUGACGAUGUCCCACGGGGCAACUUGAUCAACUGGGUCGAGUUACUGCAGUUACUGCAGUCCAGACGAACACCCUUCCCUUUCCAGAUAAGGACAACAAGUCCUGUUAUCCAGUCAGUUGGGGCAGAAAAAAAUGAAUCUUUUUUUAAACCUCAUUAGACUUUGGCUUUUUUCCCUGAAUUUGAUUUUGCAAACUAAUUCCCUAAGCAGAAAUGUUCUGCAAGAACAUUUGAAAAAACUGUGAUGACAUAAAAAAAAAUAACUGAAACCAUUAA